GGGUAACGGGGUGUUAGGGCACAACACCGGAGAGGGAGCCUGAGAAACGGCUACCACAUCCAAGGAUGGCAGCAGGCGCGCAAAUUACCCAAUCCCGACACGGGGAGGUAGUGACAAUAAAUAACAAUACGGGGUCCUUUCGGGUUUCGUAAUUGGAAUGAGUACAAUUUAAAUCUCUUAACGAGGAACAAUUGGAGGGCAAGUCUGGUGCCAGCAGCCGCGGUAAUUCCAGCUCCAAUAGCGUAUAUUAAAGUUGUUGCAGUUAAAAAGCCCGUAGUUGAAUUUCGGGAUUAGUGCGCCGGUCGUGCCUUCGGUAUGUACUGGUGUUACUGAUUCCUACCUUCUGACGAACCGUCAUGUCAUUAAUUUGGUGUGGCGGGGAAUCAGGACUGUUACUUUGAAAAAAUUAGAGUGUUUAAAGCAGGCUCGCGCUUGAAUACAUUAGCAUGGAAUAAUGAAAUAGGACGUUCGAUCCUAUUUUGUUGGUUUCUAGGAUUGACGUAAUGAUUAAUAGGGAUAGUUGGGGGCAUUAGUAUUCAAUUGUCAGAGGUGAAAUUCUUGGAUUUAUUGAAGACUAACUACUGCGAAAGCAUUUGCCAAGGAUGUUUUCAUUAAUCAAGAACGAAAGUUAGGGGAUCGGAGACGAUCAGAUACC
This 655-nucleotide ribosomal RNA is filed under the name uncultured Glomus. RNAcentral's name for it is "SSU rRNA". It matches the Rfam family "Eukaryotic small subunit ribosomal RNA", at positions 357 to 1016 of the family's 1831-position model. The record is from RNAcentral. Lineage: Eukaryota; Fungi; Glomeromycota; Glomeromycetes; Glomerales; Glomeraceae.